UUUUAAAUAUAGUCAUUACUGAAUUUUUAAACUAAUUUUUUUUUCUUUUAUUUUGUAUUGGUUAUUAAAUGAAAUUGAUUCCGUUUACAAUUUUAAGUUUCCGGAAACAUAAUUUCAAGAUGAAAACUGCAUAUACUAUGCUACGUUUUAAAAAAAGGGUAUAUAUAGUAUGCAGUAAGGUAUCUAGUUAUAAUUACAUGCAAUUUUAUGACUUA
RNAcentral lists this long non-coding RNA (215 nucleotides) under Capsella rubella. RNAcentral's name for it is "long non-coding RNA (CRUB_LNC000770)". The record is from RNAcentral. Lineage: Eukaryota; Viridiplantae; Streptophyta; Magnoliopsida; Brassicales; Brassicaceae.